GGUGGGGUAGGGCGGCUGACGCCCGGUUUAGGCGGAGAGCGCCGGGCAGAGGGGGAGGGGGACGAAGCUGGUGGCGAAGCGGCUCAGGAGAACCGGGGCUGGAGGAGCGGCAAGAGUACCCAGAAAGUGCCCUCUCCGCGGGGGUCUGCGGCCAAGGAGGAUCCUGCUCGUGGAAUAGCUACCAAAUCGGCCUCCAGCCCACCCCAGGGGCGGGGUAGAGAAAGGGCAAACUGUGACCGGGACUUGUGCACCCGAUUAAUUGAAUAUUAAUCACCCCAAGGCCUAGGCCAACCGCCACCCAGAGAGUGGCAGCUGCAGAACCCAAAGACGUGGAGCCGGGCUGGGGGUGGGGAAGGGAGGCCGCCACAGCUCCCGCCCCGCCGGCAGUUUAACUGCUUCCGCAGCCUCAGGCCUCCCGGUGCGACCCCGGCUGCGACUCGGAUCCGUUUAUUCCAAAUGUCCCAGCCCACGCCGUGCCCAGAGUGUGGCGACACGAGGCCAAACUGCGUAGCAACGACGCCUGAUUGGCUGCGCUGGUCCCUUCGCAACGAGGCGAUUGGCUGCCUGGUAUCCAGGAGACCGACGUCAAACUCGGACUGGGAAAAGGGGAAAGUCUGGGGGGAGCGAAGGAGGGGACGGGGAGAAAGAAGCAAUGAAUGAAACGCCCAUCGCCUGGCCUUCCCCUUUCCCCUUUCCCCUCUCCUCUCCAUUCUUGGAGCACUUCCUGGAAAAACACCAGUUGGGGCGCCGCCUUCCCCUCCAAACGUUGGGGCCUGCACUCUCAACCUGCUAUAAGGAAGUUAAACCGCAGCUCACCGAGGAGUAGGGUGUCUACGGGGCGGGCCCGUGUAGACCAGCUGUGCUCCUCGGGCACAAACCCGCCGUACAUGCCAGGCCUAGAAGCUUUUGGCUUUGUGGACGCAAAAUCUGGUUGGAGCCGCCUUCUCCACCCUGACUCUCCCGCCUCUCCUUUUUAGAAGGAACCGCACUGAGAAAGGGUAUUUCUGAAGGCUCAAUGCGUAGGAGAAGGGGUGGGAAGAUGGGUUUGUGGAAUGGGCUGAGGGUGGGGAGUGGUCAGGUGACUGAUUUCAUGUUUAUUGUACAGAUUCCUAAAACAUAGUUUUACUAAGUGACUCCUUAAAUUCUGAUUAAUGUGAUUUUUUUUUUUUUUUGAGUGUUUGGGUUUUUUAGUUGCAAACAGGAGUGGAAUUGAAAUGUGAAAGUAUGGCAAAACUGUGAAAGCAUUUAAAUUAAAAUGUCCCUUCCUCUGCAUUGAAAUGUCAUCAAAGCGUCAAAUAUAAAUGAUUUGUUCAGUUUUCUUUUUUUAUUUGUUUGUUUUUGGUUUUCUGUAAUGACAAGUCCAUCUGUAAUAAAAGUGAGUUAUUUUUAGUUUUCUAAUUAAGCACAGAAAUUUCAAGAAACUAGACAGGAUAUCCUUGGAAUGCCUUACCAAAAGAAACACUUCAUUUUUCACGUGUUCUAGAAGCACAACUUCUUUUACCAUUAGGCAAAUAAUGGUACUGUACCAAACAUCUAGAACUGCGGGACCAUGUGUCUUGAUUAGUAAUUUUAUAUUGGG
This 1579-nucleotide long non-coding RNA is filed under the name Homo sapiens (human). RNAcentral describes it as "non-protein coding TOB1-AS1:4". The record is from RNAcentral. Lineage: Eukaryota; Metazoa; Chordata; Mammalia; Primates; Hominidae.